RNAcentral lists this long non-coding RNA (255 nucleotides) under Fukomys damarensis (Damara mole-rat). RNAcentral describes it as "lncRNA (ENSFDAG00000021606.1)". The record is from RNAcentral. Lineage: Eukaryota; Metazoa; Chordata; Mammalia; Rodentia; Bathyergidae.
UUCUGAGACUGUAGGAGUUGACUUGAGAGCUCACUCAGCAGCACCACUACACUCAGAAAGUAACUGCUGAGAGUCCUCCUAGAGCUGAUCUGUGAACCCAGUCACUCAUCUAGUCUGUCUGCCUUUCCUGAGGACACAUCUUCCUUCUUCAGUACUCUGCUUUGUGCAUAUCCUGCUGUCCUUCUGCCCAGAGCUGGAAAUCCCACACAUCUUCCAGGAAUUGGCUGAGUUCACCAAGCUGGCCUGUUCUGAUAC